RNAcentral lists this ribosomal RNA (119 nucleotides) under Verruciconidia persicina. Lineage: Eukaryota; Fungi; Ascomycota; Sordariomycetes; Hypocreales; Bionectriaceae. The record is from RNAcentral.
ACAUACGACCAUAGCUCUCAGAGAACUCGGGAUCCCGUCUGCUCUCCUGUAGAUAAGCUGACAAGCGGCCGAUUAGUAGUUGGGUCGGUGACGACCAGCGAAUACCGGCUGUUGUAUGU